CAUCUGAUAGAAACAGUUUAGGGAUGUUUUGCCCCCUUUAAUUUAUAUUUUUCCUGACCACAAAAAUAAAUAGUCAUGGUAGAAAAUUUGGAAAACACACAGAAUUAUGAAAAAGACAAAGAAAUUCAACUGUAAUCCCCACUAUCCAGAGAUACCAUCUGAUAAUAUUUUGGUGUAUAUCCUUUCAAUAGAUGACAUUUUCUCUUGACCAAAUAAAGCGUUCUGUGCAUCUCAUAAUUUUUCAGGAUAAAUCUCUCCAUGUGUGAAGACUUUCGUUGCUUCAAGCAGAGUUUGUGGACAUUUCUGCAAACCACCUCCAUCCCCAUCUAGAACUGCUUUGAUGCCUCGACUUUUUCUAACAAGAAGCAUAGCAUAGCCUCUCCCACUUGGAGGCCGGAGGUGCUCCAUUUUCUCAGUUGGUGUCUUCCUCCAGGACUAUACAUUCUUAAAACAACUAAGUACUAGCUCCUUUGCAAACUGGACCAAAAUCUUCAAAGGAAAGAGAAAGGAAGAUUGUCUGCUGAUCAAAGCAGUCACCGGGAAAAGUGGGGUAUCUCCAAUCUCUUCCAUCUCAAGGCCAACUCAUCCCAACUUCUGGUUGUACUUCCUCUGCGGAAAGACAAAGGAAAAAUCUCUGAACCAUCUCUGCUCACCUUAGGGAUGGUGGUCGUCAAAG
This 676-nucleotide long non-coding RNA is filed under the name Cercocebus atys (sooty mangabey). Its description in RNAcentral is "lncRNA (ENSCATG00000045810.1)". Lineage: Eukaryota; Metazoa; Chordata; Mammalia; Primates; Cercopithecidae. The record is from RNAcentral.